This is a long non-coding RNA of Mustela lutreola (European mink), 1447 nucleotides long. RefSeq lists it as uncharacterized. Lineage: Eukaryota; Metazoa; Chordata; Mammalia; Carnivora; Mustelidae. The transcript has 5 exons. The record is from RefSeq and is a predicted model, not a curated record.
UUGCCUGUUACACGGGGCUAACUUAUUGAAAGGUUUCUGUUCGCUUAGAUUAGUGGAUUUGUGUGUUGUGUUUUGGCUUCGUGAACAGAAGAUUCAGGAGACUGGAAUUUCCAUUCUACUUUCACAAUGACGGUGUAUAACGGGAACAAGUCACUGAGUAUUUUAUCUGUAAGUCUUUGGAUAAAAUGUACUGCAUCCAAGGGUAACUUGGCUAAAAAUUUGUCACCAUGGACUGCCAAGGUUCAUUUGACAGACUUGGCCAACUUGGGUAUCAUGAUCAGAAAAACAAAAUGAGAAUCCACCAUCCAAAAAACAAAAAAGAAAUUAUUUGGGUCAUUGAAUAUCAAGGGGAAGAAAUAAAAGGAAAUGAUUAGUCUCAGGAGAAUCUAGCAGACUUCACAGAGGGGACAAGUGUGCCACUGAUGUCUUCCCUUAGCCUCUCCUCUCCAGAAUUUUUCCAGGAGGGAAUCAGAUACUGGUACUUGUGUCUACCAAACUCCAGAGAACCCUAGCCAAGCCAUCCAACUAAUUUUCUUGAAUCUUCAUAUUUGGAUCAAGAGUUACUGGACGUUUAAAUUUGCAUAUAUGGUUGGCAUUAUAUUUCUAUUGGACAGCAUUGUUCUAUUUAAUUGCCUUAAAAAAAGGAGAUUUCGAGGAGGAGUCAAGAUGGCGGAGAAGUAACAGGCUGAGACUACUUCAGCUAGCAGGAGAUCAGCUAGAUAGCUUAUCUAAAGAUUGCAAACACCUGAAAAUCCAUUAGCAGAUUGAAGAGAAGAAGAACAGCAAUUCUGGAAACAGAAAAACAACCACUUUCUGAAAGUAGGCUCCACACCCAACAUGGAGACCAACAUGGUGCUUGAAUUCACCACCCUGAGAUCAAGACCUGAUCUGAGAUCAAGAGUCGGAGGCUCAACUGAUUGGGUCAGCCAGACAUCCCUCCCAGAAUAACUCUAAAGGUUGGUUAUAUCACAAAGAAAUCUCUCCAAAUUCAUUUGGCAGUAUUUAGAUCAGAAACAAAUCAAGAGAAACCAGCAACUUCAUAACUUUUGAAAUACUCCAUGCUAUGUCCUAUCAGUGUCAAGGUCUGAAGUAGCCUAGGUCACAGAUAGGCUAUUAGUUAGUGUGGUCUUUUUUAAAUAAAUGAUUCUUUUCACCAGAAGAUCUGCUAAUCCAUGAAGAAAUGACACCUUUUAAAAUGUAAACAGUCACAUAUUGGGUUAUGGACAUUGGGGAAGGUAUGUGCUAUGAUGAGUGCUGUGAAGUGUGUAAACCUGGCGAUGAUUCGCAGACAUGUACACCUGGAGCUAAUAAUACAUUGUAUGUUAAUAAAAAAUUAAAAAUUAAAAAAAAACAGACAUAUCAUCAGUCUUUCUUUUAAUGCCUGACAAAGGAGUCAGGGAGAUUGCCACCAAUAUGCCAUUCAUUCUAACUGUUCCAUAAAUAUUUG